GGACUACCCGGGUAUCUAAUCCCGUUCGCUCCCCUGGCUUUCGCGCACUCAGCGUCAGUGAAGGUCCAGCAUGCCGCCUUCGCCACCGGAGUUCCUGAUGAUAUCAACACAUUUCACCGCUCCACCAUCAGUUCCGCAUGCCCCUACCUUACUCAAGACACCCAGUAUCAAAGGCAGUUCCCCAGUUAAGCUGGGGGAUUUCACCCCUGACUUGAAUGCCCGCCUACGCGCCCUUUAAGCCCAGUGAUUCCGAACAACGUUCGCACGGUUCGUCUUACCGCGGCUGCUGGCAC
This 293-nucleotide ribosomal RNA is filed under the name uncultured bacterium. RNAcentral's name for it is "partial 16S ribosomal RNA". RNAcentral also lists the same sequence under 1 other name. The record is from RNAcentral.